This 71-nucleotide transfer RNA is filed under the name Omosudis lowii (hammerjaw). RNAcentral describes it as "tRNA-Ser". It matches the Rfam family "tRNA". Rfam says of the family: Transfer RNA (tRNA) molecules are approximately 80 nucleotides in length. The record is from RNAcentral. Lineage: Eukaryota; Metazoa; Chordata; Actinopteri; Aulopiformes; Alepisauridae.
AAGAAAGUGACAGAAUGGUAAUGUGAGUGGCUUGAAACCAUUACACGGGGGUUCAAUUCCCUCCUUUCUCG